This 407-nucleotide ribosomal RNA is filed under the name uncultured prokaryote. RNAcentral describes it as "bacterial SSU rRNA". It matches the Rfam family "Bacterial small subunit ribosomal RNA", at positions 355 to 776 of the family's 1533-position model. The record is from RNAcentral. RNAcentral also lists the same sequence under 1 other name.
UGGGGAAUAUUGCGCAAUGGGGGAAACCCUGACGCAGCAACGCCGCGUGAAGGAUGAAGGUUUUCGGAUUGUAAACUUCUUUGAUGAGGGACGAAGAAAAUGACGGUACCUCAAAAACAAGCCACGGCUAACUACGUGCCAGCAGCCGCGGUAAUACGUAGGUGGCGAGCGUUGUCCGGAAUUACUGGGUGUAAAGGGCGUGUAGGCGGGGAGACAAGUCAGAUGUGAAAUACCGAAGCUUAACUUCGGGGCUGCAUCUGAAACUGUUUUUCUUGAGUGUCGGAGAGGAAAGCGGAAUUCCUAGUGUAGCGGUGAAAUGCGUAGAUAUUAGGAGGAACACCAGUGGCGAAGGCGGCUUUCUGGACAGUAACUGACGCUGAGGCGCGAAAGCGUGGGGAGCGAACAGG